RNAcentral lists this small nuclear RNA (299 nucleotides) under Salvator merianae (Argentine black and white tegu). RNAcentral's name for it is "7SK RNA (ENSSMRG00000001827.1)". It matches the Rfam family "7SK RNA". From Rfam's summary of the family: 7SK was discovered as an abundant small nuclear RNA in the mid-70s but a possible function has only recently been suggested. Two independent studies have found that 7SK RNA binds the CDK9/cyclin T complex (known as elongation factor P-TEFb). Lineage: Eukaryota; Metazoa; Chordata; Lepidosauria; Squamata; Teiidae. The record is from Rfam by way of RNAcentral.
AGAUAUGAGGGUGAUCUGGCUUCAACAUCUGUCACUCCACUGAUUGCUAGAGUUGAUUUGGCUGAUCUGGUGGGCUAGACAGGUGGUUCUUCCUCCCUCACUGCUUCCUGCAUGUCCCUUCUGAAGCUCCAUACUCAACAGAAGAGGUUGAUCAUCCCAGACAGAAGGAGUGCACCCAUCUUCAUACUACUGUAGAGUUAUACAAUAGUUGUGCUUCCCUGCUACAAAUCCAAACAAGUUCAGCAUUGCAUAGCAAGUUAAACCUGCUAUGGGAAAUUAUAAUUAGGACUCCUGCCUUU